AAACAUUUUCCUUCAAAUUUUAACAUCCAAUGACAUUGGCCUUUUAUUUUUAUUUUGUUUUUAAUGUUUAUUUUUAGUUUUGAGAGAGAGAGAGACAGAGUGCAAGCAGAAAGAGAGAAGGAGACACAGAAUCUGAAGCAGGCUCCAGGCUCCAAGCUGUCAGCACAGAGCCUGAUGUGGGGCUCAAACUCACGAACUGUGAGAUCAUGACCUGAGCCCAAGUGGAACGCUUAAACGACUGAGCCACCCAGGUGUCCCUGCAUUUGUCUUUUUUUUUUUUAACGUUUAUUUAUUUUUGAGAGACAGGGAGAGACAGAGAAUGAGCAGGGGAGGGGCAGAGGGAGAGGGAGACACAGAAUCUGAAACAGGCUCCAGGCUCUGAGAGUCAGCACAGAGCCUGAUGCGGGGCUUGAACUCGUGAACUGUGAGAUCAUGACCUGAGCCGAAGUUGGACGCUUAACCGACUGAGCCAUCCAGGCGCCCCUACGUUUGUCUUUUAAAUCCGAGAUCUCUAUUAGGUUGCUAGGGAAACAUCAGGUUGUUGUUUUUUUUUUUUUAAUUCCAGAACAUACUUUGGGCCAAGAUCUGCACUGCAUUUUAAGCUGACUUGGGCAUUGUUACCACUCACUGGAUAGUGCAGAGCAAUCCUGUGGGUUGGUUAAUGACAAAGUACCACUUUGUCCCCUUAUCUUCUCAGGACAGACUUCUUGUGCUACCCAGCCCCUCCCAUUUAAAUACAUACAUGUCACCAUUUUAGGACAGAAUAUCCAAGCAGGGCUGAUAGUUCUUAUUAAUUCCUGCAAUCCCACCAAUUUUUCCAUCAGGGCAACAUGAGAACAGCCGCUUCUGUGUUAGUCAUCGAAGAUCAUUUUCUGGGUAGCAGGAUGCCCCCUCUGCAUUGGCUGUUGGAACUGGAGGAAUAUCUCAGACAGCUUCUGGAAAGAACCAAAACUCUUAUGCUCCCCCUUCAUUUAUGGAAGUGGAAUGGUUUGAAAUACCUUGGCAACCAAACUGAAAAGAGGGUAUGUUUGUGCCCAAAGUGGAAAAAAGCCAAUUGCCUAAGAAAACCAAGAAUUACAGUUUUUUCGCUUUUUCUGAGAAACCCUAAAACCUAUGAUAUUGGUUAAGGUAAUCAUAGCUACUAUAACAAAUAAACCCCUCACUGUGUAAUGACUCCA
RNAcentral lists this long non-coding RNA (1178 nucleotides) under Felis catus (domestic cat). RNAcentral describes it as "lncRNA (ENSFCAG00000048061.1)". The record is from RNAcentral. Lineage: Eukaryota; Metazoa; Chordata; Mammalia; Carnivora; Felidae.